GAUCCUGGCUCAGAUUGAACGCUGGCGGCAGGCUUAACACAUGCAAGUCGAACGGUAACAUGAAGAAGCUUGCUUCUUUGAUGACGAGUGGCGGACGGGUGAGUAAUGCUUGGGGAAUCUAGCUUAUGGAGGGGGGAUAACUACGGGAAACUGUAGCUAAUACCGCGUAGUAUCGGAAGAUGAAAGUGUGGGACCUUCGGGUCCGACCACUGCCACUAGGAUGAGGCCCAACGUAGGGGAGUUAGGUAGGUUGGUUGG
Molecule: ribosomal RNA, 258 nt
Filed under: uncultured bacterium
Lineage: Bacteria
Description: partial 16S ribosomal RNA
Rfam family: Bacterial small subunit ribosomal RNA
Source: RNAcentral